UAGUUUAUGCACUUCUUGUUUCUGUAAAUG
RNAcentral lists this non-coding RNA (30 nucleotides) under Rattus norvegicus (Norway rat). The record is from RNAcentral. Lineage: Eukaryota; Metazoa; Chordata; Mammalia; Rodentia; Muridae.